RNAcentral lists this ribosomal RNA (253 nucleotides) under uncultured bacterium. RNAcentral's name for it is "partial 16S ribosomal RNA". It matches the Rfam family "Bacterial small subunit ribosomal RNA", at positions 524 to 776 of the family's 1533-position model. The record is from RNAcentral.
UACAGAGGGGGCAAGCGUUAUUCGGAAUUAUUGGGCGUAAAGGGCGCGUAGGCGGCUUGGCAAGUGGAAGGUGAAAUCCCUCGGCUCAACCGAGGAACUGCCCUCCAAACUGCUUGGCUUGAGACCGGGAGAGGUGAGUGGAAUUCCCAGUGUAGCGGUGAAAUGCGUAGAUAUUGGGAGGAACACCAGUGGCGAAAGCGACUUCCUGGACCAAUACUGACGCUCAUGUGCGAAAGCGUGGGGAGCAAACAGG